GACGAACGCUGGCGGCGUGCCUAAUACAUGCAAGUAGGACGCACAGCUUAUACCGUAGCUUGCUACACCAUAGACUGUGAGUUGCGAACGGGUGAGUAACGCGUAGGUAACCUGCCUAUUAGAGGGGGAUAACUAUUGGAAACGAUAGCUAAUACCGCAUAACAGUAUGUAACACAUGUUAGAUGCUUGAAAGAUGCAAUUGCAUCGCUAGUAGAUGGACCUGCGUUGUAUUAGCUAGUAGGUAGGGUAAUGGCCUACCUAGGCGACGAUACAUAGCCGACCUGAGAGGGUGAUCGGCCACACUGGGACUGAGACACGGCCCAGACUCCUACGGGAGGCAGCAGUAGGGAAUCUUCGGCAAUGGGGGGAACCCUGACCGAGCAACGCCGCGUGAGUGAAGAAGGUUUUCGGAUCGUAAAGCUCUGCUGUUAAGGAAGAACGAGUGUGAAAAUGGAAAGUUCAUACUGUGACGGUACUUAACCAGAAAGGGACGGCUAACUACGUGCCAGCAGCCGCGGUAAUACGUAGGUCCCGAGCGUUGUCCGGAUUUAUUGGGCGUAAAGCGAGCGCAGGCGGUUAGAAAAGUCUGAAGUGAAAGGCAGUGGCUCAACCAUUGUAGGCUUUGGAAACUGUUUAACUUGAGUGCAGAAGGGGAGAGUGAAAUUCCAUGUGUAGCGGUGAAAUGCGUAGAUAUAUGGAGGAACACCGGUGGCGAAAGCGGCUCUCUGGUCUGUAACUGACGCUGAGGCUCGAAAGCGUGGGGAGCGAACAGG
RNAcentral lists this ribosomal RNA (773 nucleotides) under Streptococcus anginosus. Its description in RNAcentral is "bacterial SSU rRNA". It matches the Rfam family "Bacterial small subunit ribosomal RNA", at positions 28 to 776 of the family's 1533-position model. Lineage: Bacteria; Bacillati; Bacillota; Bacilli; Lactobacillales; Streptococcaceae. The record is from RNAcentral.